GAUGAACGCUGGCGGCGUGCCUAAUACAUGCAAGUCGAGCGAACAGAUGAGGAGCUUGCUCCUCUGACGUUAGCGGCGGACGGGUGAGUAACACGUGGAUAACCUACCUAUAAGACUGGGAUAACUUCGGGAAACCGGAGCUAAUACCGGAUAAUAUAUUGAACCGCAUGGUUCAAUAGUGAAAGACGGUUUUGCUGUCACUUAUAGAUGGAUCCGCGCCGCAUUAGCUAGUUGGUAAGGUAACGGCUUACCAAGGCAACGAUGCGUAGCCGACCUGAGAGGGUGAGCGGCCACACGGGAACUGAGACACGGUCCAGACUCCUACGGGAGGCAGCAGUAGGGAAUCUUCCGCAAUGGGCGAAAGCCUGACGGAGCAACGCCGCGUGAGUGAUGAAGGUCUUCGGAUCGUAAAACUCUGUUAUUAGGGAAGAACAAAUGUGUAAGUAACUAUGCACGUCUUGACGGUACCUAAUCAGAAAGCCACGGCUAACUACGUG
RNAcentral lists this ribosomal RNA (497 nucleotides) under uncultured bacterium. RNAcentral's name for it is "partial 16S ribosomal RNA". It matches the Rfam family "Bacterial small subunit ribosomal RNA", at positions 28 to 507 of the family's 1533-position model. The record is from RNAcentral.